UUUUUAUUUUUUGCUGUUGUUGUACCAUUGUUCUUCAUUUAAAAAAAAAAAAAAAAAAAAACA
Molecule: non-coding RNA, 63 nt
Filed under: Heterosigma akashiwo
Lineage: Eukaryota; Raphidophyceae; Chattonellales; Chattonellaceae
Source: RNAcentral